UUCUCUCUCAUUUCUCAAAAUCCCCAAUUUCUAAAUCCCUAGCUUGGAAGAGAAACGACGACGCGACGCCUUCCCCUCGCCGUUCGCUGCUCCGGUCGGCGCCUCCCUUGCGCCGCCGGGAAAUCGAUCCCCUUCCCCUCUUUUCUCUAGAUCGUGAGGAUUUGGAAGCAGCGCAUCUCCCUUUGCCGUCCGGCGGUCACCGCCGCUGCUUCGCGACUAGCCGCCGCCUCAGAUCCCCUCGUCGCUGGUGUCGCCGUUGGAGAAGGAGAGGAAUCAUCGCCUCUCUCUCUCUGCACUCACGGCUCUGCCCCGCCAGCACCGCCGACCUCCUCCUAUCGCCGGCGCUCCAUCGCCGGCGUCGCCACUGUCGGUCUUUCUCAGAGCACAGCGCCUCUCAGCACCGACGCUGCCUCCUCCUUGCUCCUGCCACUGCUCCUGCACCAGCUUCAGCGCGGUGCUACGGAGUUCGUGCUACUUUCCUCGUCACUGCUCGAAGCUACCUCGGGUUCGAUCGCCGCCGGAAAGCCCCACGCACUAAGCUAAGCCCUCUAACUCCAUUAUCUAGUUUCUUUUUUUUUUUAGGCAGUAACUUUGUGAGAUUAUAAUUCUUGUAUGAUGGGUGAUCAAAACUGGAAAGGCUUGUCUAUGGUUUUUGUGUUGGGACUCUUGUGGGUUUGCUACUGAAUUUGAGCAUAAAGGCAGCCUAUUGUACUCUUGUUCCAUUUAUGUGCUAAAACUCUAAGAAUGCUACUGUUAUAAGAUUUCUAUAGCCAUAAUUCUAUGUUCUUGAGCCUUGCAUGAUGUUCGAAACAAAGGCAGAGUGUGUGCUUGAUAUAUUGAUUUGAUUCUUAAGUUGUGGUGCCUCUAUAUGAUGAUAUGUAAAAUUUGAUUGGGAGAAGGGGUGGAGGUGGAAUACCUCUUGAAGCAAUUACUGACUUGGUAUUUGUUGUUAGAGAUCAAGGCUUACCCUCCUCCUUUAGAAUUCCUAGUUGCAGUGACAAAGAAAGGGGGUGAAACUGAGUUCUUUUCUUUGAAUGAAGAGAGAUUCAUGGAGAUGAGGAAGGAGGGAGACAUGUUACCUAUGGGUGUGGGAGUUAUCUGUAAGACUCUGCAGAGACUCUUCUCCUAGCUGACUAGCUCCCUCACUCUCAACUUUCUAUGUUGCUGGAAAUUUUGAAGUAUGUGGAAGGGAGUUCAUAAGUGGUGUGGAGGGGUUUUUAUAGGCUGAUUUUGUGUACCUUAGGAGGAGUUAAUGAGGCUGAUCUCGUUUUGUUUUUAUGCCCAGCAUAUCUCUUGUUUUUGAUCCUCAAUGCAGCUUUCUACUUGAAACAUUUUGGUGUUACUUGGAGUACUAGGUGUUUGACUAAUUAAUUCAACUUGUUCUCACAUGCCCUCUUAGUACUUUAGUUCAUAAUUCUAUUUGUUUGCAAGCUGCAGGAGCAUGUUGGGUGCACCUAGGAGAAUUUGAAUGGCCGUCCAGCCUCUUUGUUUUCAUGCUGCAGAAAAUCUCUUACUUCCUUGAUCUCCACUACUUUUGAUUAAUGAACUUGGUGUUUAGCUUAGGACAAAAGGACUUCUCAUUUACUUAUUUUGGUUGAUUGUGUGACUAGGAAAGGCUACUUCGCAGGGCUGUUUUAGAGGGGAGUAAAAUGGCAUAUUUGACUUGCUAUUUUUGGAGGAAGAAACAACUUGGCUGCCACUUAGCUGUCUCGGAAAGUGGGCUCGCUGCCCUGGGCCCGGCGGCUGAUCAGAUACGGGCCGCGACUUUCGGCCCGAGAGAAGAGGCCCGAUGACAUUUGUUCCAUGCACAUUUUUUUGUUAGCUGUUCAUUUUAUUGUCUAUGUAACGCUAUUCGAAAAUUCUUUAUUUUCUACAACGUAUUUCCAUUUGUUUA
Molecule: long non-coding RNA, 1894 nt
Organism: Salvia hispanica
Lineage: Eukaryota; Viridiplantae; Streptophyta; Magnoliopsida; Lamiales; Lamiaceae
Source: RefSeq, a predicted model, not a curated record